Cotesia glomerata is the source of this 173-nucleotide long non-coding RNA. RefSeq lists it as uncharacterized. The record is from RefSeq and is a predicted model, not a curated record. The transcript is spliced from 2 exons. Lineage: Eukaryota; Metazoa; Arthropoda; Insecta; Hymenoptera; Braconidae.
AAGUUUCUGACAGUUUUUUUUUUUAUAACUAAGAAACUGGUACAGAGCUGCAGAGAGCGUAUGCAAUCAAUGUUAAAUAUCCAAUUUUUAAUUGAAUUCAUCUCGGGUUAUAGAUGGUCAAUCGACUUAAAAUUUUAAGGAUAAUUGUAUCAUCAUGUCCUUAAUAAGUAUAC